CCUACGGGUGGCAGCAGUGAGGAAUAUUGGUCAAUGGCCGUAAGGCUGAACCAGCCAAGUCGCGUGAAGGAAGAAGGAGCUAUGGUUUGUAAACUUCUUUUGUAGGGGAAUAAAGUUAUGCACGUGAGGAUGUUUGCGUGUACUCUAUGAAUAAGCAUCGGCUAACUCCGUGCCAGCAGCCGCGGUAAUACGGAGGAUGCGAGCGUUAUCCGGAUUUAUUGGGUUUAAAGGGUGCGUGGGUUGUUUUUUAAGUCAGCGGUAAAAGCGUGGGGCUCAACCCCAUCCAGCCGUUGAAACUGGGGAUCUAGAGUGUGCGAGAGGUAUGCGGAAUGCGUGGUGUAGCGGUGAAAUGCAUAGAUAUCACGCAGAACCCCGAUUGCGAAGGCAGCAUACCGGUGCACAACUGACGCUGAGGCACGAAAGCGUGGGUAUCGAACAGGAUUAGAUACCCCAGUAGUC
This 459-nucleotide ribosomal RNA is filed under the name uncultured bacterium. Its description in RNAcentral is "partial 16S ribosomal RNA". It matches the Rfam family "Bacterial small subunit ribosomal RNA", at positions 338 to 795 of the family's 1533-position model. The record is from RNAcentral.